UUCCGGUUGAUCCUGCCGGACCCGACUGCUAUCAGAGUGGGACUAAGCCAUGCGAGUCAACGCCGCAAGGCGUGGCAUACGGCUCAGUAACACGUAGUCAACAUGCCCAAAGGACGUGGAUAACCUCGGGAAACUGAGGAUAAACCGCGAUAGGCCAAGGUUUCCGGAAUGAGCCAUGGUCGUAAUCUAUAUGGCCUUUGGAUUGGACUGCGGCCGAUCAGGCUGUUGGUGAGGUAAUGGCCCACCAAACCUGUAACCGGUACGGGCUUUGAGAGAAGGAGCCCGGAGAUGGGCACUGAGACAAGGGCCCAGGUCCUAUGGGGCGCAGCAGGCGCGAAACCUCUGCAAUAGGCGAAAGCCUGACAGGGUUACACUGAGUGAUGCCCGCUAAGGGUAUCUUUUGGCACCUCUAAAAAUGGUGCAGAAUAAGGGGUGGGCAAGUCUGGUGUCAGCCGCCGCGGUAAUACCAGCACCCCGAGUUGUCGGGACGAUUAUUGGGCCUAAAGCAUCCGUAGCCUGUUCUGCAAGUCCUCCGUUAAAUCCACCUGCUUAACGGAUGGGCCGCGGGGGAUACUGCAGAGCUAGGAGGCGGGAGAGGCAAACGGUACUCAGUGGGUAGGGGUAAAAUCCAUUGAUCUACUGAAGACCACCAGUGGCGAAGGCGGUUUGCCAGAACGCGCUCGACGGUGAGGGAUGAAAGCUGGGGGAGCAAACCGGAUUAGAUACCCGGGUAGUCCCAGCUGUAAACGAUGCAGACUCGGUGAUGGGUUGG
Molecule: ribosomal RNA, 772 nt
Filed under: uncultured crenarchaeote
Lineage: Archaea; Thermoproteati; Thermoproteota
Description: bacterial SSU rRNA
Rfam family: Archaeal small subunit ribosomal RNA
Source: RNAcentral